RNAcentral lists this ribosomal RNA (301 nucleotides) under uncultured bacterium. RNAcentral's name for it is "partial 16S ribosomal RNA". It matches the Rfam family "Bacterial small subunit ribosomal RNA", at positions 509 to 807 of the family's 1533-position model. The record is from RNAcentral.
CAGCAGCCGCGGUAAUACAGAGGAUGCAAGCGUUAUCCGGAAUGAUUGGGCGUAAAGCGUCUGUAGGUGGCUUUUCAAGUCCGCCGUCAAAUCCCAGGGCUCAACCCUGGACAGGCGGUGGAAACUACCAAGCUGGAGUACGGGAGGGGCAGAGGGAAUUUUCGGUGCAGCGGUGAAAUGCGUUGAGAUCGGAAAGAACACCAACGGCAAAAGCACUCUGCUGGGCCGACACUGACACUGAGAGACGAAAGCUAAGGGAGCAAAUGGGAUUAGAGACCCCGGUAGUCCCUGUCUCUUAUAC